This is a long non-coding RNA of Nerophis ophidion (straightnose pipefish), 857 nucleotides long. RefSeq lists it as uncharacterized. Lineage: Eukaryota; Metazoa; Chordata; Actinopteri; Syngnathiformes; Syngnathidae. The transcript has 2 exons. The record is from RefSeq and is a predicted model, not a curated record.
UUGGAAACAUUCGAAAAAUGGCGGAGGGAAAUAGUACGGAUAGUUCAGAGGAGAAACAUCUCGAGGUUAUAAAAGUGUACGACCUAAGUCGUCAAAAGUGUCCGAACACUUUACUUUAAAGACUUCAAAGACGACAUUUCCUGCAAAACGAGCAGCAUGGACCUCGCGUACGUGGCACGAAAGGCAACAUUGCUUCGGCAGCACCUGAAGAGGGGCCAUGGAUUAAGAGAACUCACGAAAGAAACAAGCCAGCAUUAGCAACUUCGUACAAAGGAAAGUGUGCACACCACAGCAAGCGACUGCAUUGACUGAUGCUAUCCUGAAUAUGUUGCUAACUGACAUGAGGCGACUAUCAAUGGUGGAGGAUGACGGUUUCAGAAAAAUGAUUUACGUCAACCCUGUUAACACUCUUCCCUUGAGGACCCAUUUUACGAAACUGAUGGAGAGGAAGUAUGAGGAGACAUUUCAAGCUGUGUAAACUGACAUUAAAGCCACCCAGAGCAAAAUUGUUCUGACCACUGAUGUGUGGACAAGUGUAGCCACGGAAGCCUACCUCGGCAAUACAUGCCACUAUAUUGGAGAGGAAUGGAACAUGAAGUCAAUCUGCCUUAUGACCAUGCCACUAGAGGAAAGACAUUCAGCAUCCAACAUUGCAGAAUGGUUAGAAUAGGUAGUAGGCAGGUUUGAAAUUCCCCUAAGCAAAAUUAUUGCUAUUGUACAUGACAAUGGUGCACUUUAUAAAAAAAACAAAAAAUAUUUUUCUAACACUUGCCUUGUUAUUGUUAUGUUUGGCAAGUCGAAAGGACAUAGUGCCAGUAUGCGUUUUUCUUUAAAUAAAGUAUUGGAAAGGAUAGAAA